UUUCCUUCCUUUCCCCACACUGCUCCAUGAAAUUAAGACAGUUAUAGGCAAUUAAAAAGCUUAGAAAGUUUGUUUCUAGUAGUCUUCUGUUCCUAGAAACAGAAAAGAAAAAAAUUAGUGUAUCAAUAGAAAAGACGGGUCUAUACAAAGGAAUGAACAGUGAAAUGUAUUUGAGUAACUAUAAAAGUGGUAUUUUUCUGUUCCUUUAAUUGCUAUUUUUUUACAGUUUUUCCUAAGUUUUAUUUUUCUCAAGAAAUUAACUAUUCAAAGCAAAAAAACCCAGUAACUUGUAGAGUGUAAAAACCAUGAAAAGGAAAGCAUGAGCACAGCAGCACAAGCUCUGUGUGCAGAUGUGGAGUACAGGUGCUGCUAAGUGUAUAUGAGGCGGCAUCUCACCUCAGUGACCAUCAUAAGCUGAAAAUAGCCUACUCAGCAGCAUAGCUGACCAGCAUAAUAUAUACAGUGUGUAUUGUUCACCCUUGUGGCUCUGUAGCUGAUUGAGUACUGUAGCUUGCUGCCACUAUACGUGACUACAUAUCCUUAGUGCAGGAAAAGGUCAGAACUCAGAAAUGAAGUAUGGUUUGUACUGAAUUCAGAUUCUUUUAUACUGUCCAAAAGUCAAAAGCCUCAUGAAUUGAACUUUCAGAAAUCAUGGACUGUCUGUGCAUGGCAGUGUUCUCACGUUACAUGUAAAGUGCUACGAGGUAAUAUGUACUGUAUAAAUUAAUGAUACAUGUUAUCAUCCCUAGGGCAUCAUAGUUAGAAUGAAUUAAUAGAGACAGUACUGGCAUGUUAAAAACUACUGCAUUGUAACAAUGAUAAAAAAUUAACUUGACAGAGAAAGAAAACAAAGCACUGAGGAGUAGACUUAUGUUAGUGGAACUUGAUGUAAUAUCUUCACUAAGAAAAAAUUGGUUGUCUUUAUAAAAUUAAAAUAGAGUUAUAUACCUUAAAGUUAUCCUUUGGUUUAUAUUCAUACAAAGUUCAUUUAUAAUUUUAUAAUAAAUUUGCCAAACUGAUUUACUCAAAUGUUGGUCAGCAAGUCAAAUCAUUGUCAUGCUUGUACAGUAAACACUGUUUAGCAAAACAAAGAAUUGAGCACUAACUCAGCAGUAAUCUCAAAUGCUGUGAGAUAUUUGAUCACACUGUGAAUCCUGAGAUUGUGCUAUAUAUUUACUGAAAAAUCCUGUUUCUAGUUUUGUGGCUCAGCCCUUAGUACACACCUUUUAUCCCAAACAAUGAAGAUAAGGUUAGUUUGUAGAAAAAGACACACCCAUGUUUGAAAGUGAUGUCUAAUUGAGUGGAAGACAAAGUGAUGAAUCAGAGAAAGAUUAGAUAGAAUUGGGUAUGUCCAACUCUCGGGAGGUCAGAGAAAAGAGAGGCUACUUAAAGAGAGUAGUGCAGAGAAAAGAGGAGGCUGUUUUACUGGGAGAGGUUUUCAGAGACAGCAAAUAUUCUCUCCCAGCCCAGAGUCUGUCUCUUGCGUUGAUGUUUCCUUUGCCGUACGUACAGAAGCUUUUACUGUGAUACAAUCUCAUUUGUCAGUUCUCGGUGUUAUUUCUGAGUUCCUGCAGUCCUCUUUAGAAAGUCCUUGACAAUACCUUUAUCUUGAAAUGUUUUCUCUCCUUAGCAUCAACUUUUAGAAUUUCUGGAUGUAUAGUAUAAUGUCUUUUAUUCAUGUUUAAUUUAUUUUUAUUCAGAAUGAAAAGUGUAUGUCUAUUUUGAUUUUUCUACAUGUGUUUGUCCAUUUUCCCAGCACUGUAUGUUGAAGAGGUUAUACUUUUCCUCAGUGUAUAUUACUGUAUAUAUUAUUUGCAUCUUUGUAAAAAAUAUGGUUCACAAUUAAUUGUAUGGAUUUAGUUCUGAGGCUUCUUAUCUAGUCUGUUAACUGUGUCUGCUUUGUACCUGUUGGAUACUGUUUUUAUUACUGUUGUUUUGAAGGGCAAUUCAAAAUUCAAAAUACUCUCAGUAUUGUUCUUUUUGCUUAUGUUUGGUUUGGAUGUUUGCAAUCUUCUGUGCCUUCAUGUGAAUUUCUAGUUCUGUAAAAAAGGUUACUGGAAUUUUGAUGGUGAUUGUAUUAAAUAAGGUCAUUUUCGGUAAAACAGCUAUUUUUGCACUGUCAAUUUUACC
RNAcentral lists this long non-coding RNA (2130 nucleotides) under Mus spretus (western wild mouse). RNAcentral describes it as "predicted gene 42869 (ENSMSPG00010047870.1)". Lineage: Eukaryota; Metazoa; Chordata; Mammalia; Rodentia; Muridae. The record is from RNAcentral.